Homo sapiens (human) is the source of this 469-nucleotide long non-coding RNA. RefSeq lists it as uncharacterized. The record is from RefSeq and is a predicted model, not a curated record. The transcript has 5 exons. NCBI's taxonomy places the organism in Eukaryota, Metazoa, Chordata, Mammalia, Primates, Hominidae.
AAAGCUGUUCCUCCUCCUCCUGGCCUUGGUGGGCUGUUUGGCUGUGUGGAAAUAUGGGGCACGGUGGGGACACAUUCGGAGUGUCCUUGGCCCAGGCACGAUCUCACUUACUCAUCACAGCAGAGAACACUUGAGGAGCAGGAUGUCCAGUUUCCGGAACAUUGGGCCUUCUGAAUGAGAAACUGGUCAGCCGCUCCCUGUGGCCUCAUCAGGACCUGCCCUUCCCUCAGUAUGGACCUAUCCACUACCCAGAAAGCAUCACAAAAUCAGAAAUAUUUGAGCUGGAAGAAUACUUCAGGGUGGCCUCAUUCUGCUCGGCAUAUGCCAUGGCCACCACGGCCAGGAUCAGAUUGAUGAGGUAGAAAGAGCCCAGGAAGAUGAUGACCACGAAGAAGAUCAUAGCAGGGCAUCGUUGGAGCCCUCCAGGAAGUAGAAGUUCCCUUUGGGAGUCAGAGGCCACAAAGGAGGC